RNAcentral lists this long non-coding RNA (1113 nucleotides) under Marmota monax (woodchuck). Lineage: Eukaryota; Metazoa; Chordata; Mammalia; Rodentia; Sciuridae. The record is from RNAcentral.
GCUGCUGGUAGGGAAGAUGUUCUCUCUGGUCCACUCUGGUGGGUUGUACAGGCUGUUCACAGGUCUCGCUCCGUGUGCCCAGGACCCCUGUGAGUGUCUAGGGAGGCCAGAGGCUCCGGGCAGGCCUGGGAAGGAGAGAGGCGGAACUCCUCCGUCCAAGGCCUGAACUCCUCACAAGGACCCCUGCUGGGGUGAAGGGAGGCAGAAGGCCUGACUUCUGCUCCAGAGACCAGAGCAUCCCAGGGAGCAUUGCCCGGCAGGGACAGCUGGAGGCAGAAGGCCAGUGUGCACACAGUCCCGAUGACCUGGCAGGCAGCCAGGAAGCCAGCAGGAGUCGCUGUGGCUUAAACAGAGGGGAGUGACUCUCCUGGUCUGUGAGCAUGGCUGAGGCCCACCUGGCCUCCUCCAGGACUCUGUGAGCUGCCCUCUGAAUGGUGCAGCUCUGCCUGCAGUGCCUGUUCUGGGACCAAGUGCCAUCGUGGCCAGGGUCAUCCCCACCCCCCUAUCCCUGUGGAUAGUGACCCAGGUGUCAUGUGGUCGGCAGGACAAACCCAGGGCUGGGGGCUAGUCCUGCCACCCGGGUUCUUUGCUCUGCCAGCCGAAGGCUUUCAGAAGUUAAAUUCAAAGUUGCUGGAGGUUUUGAGUCACUUUUUUUUCUUUUUUUCAAUAGCGCCUCUUGAGUGAAAAUCAGGCAGCUGUGUGGGCGGCCGUUAAGGGUGCCUCCUUUCCACAUCGAGAGCUACCCACACAGCAGAUUUUAGUGGCACUGAAGUGGAACCUGAUUUUGCCUCUCAGCUGCUAUAUUAAAAUAAAAUGCCCUUAAGCUGAUUAUAAAGAUACCAAUUUAGAUGUAUGGAUACCAUUUCCCUGAGGGAAGGAACAUCUUCAUUGAUUCUGAGACCUCACAUCACCUCAUGCGCCUGGGUGGGUGCAUGUCACUCCAUCUUCUAGCACUUUCUAGCAGAGAUAUGGCCCCAUAAGGAGGGGUGGCCGUGGGAGGAGCUCUAGACUGCCAACCUGCUGUGUGAUUUCAGUGCCUCUGUCCCCACGGGGACAUUCACUCUGCUUGUCCCCCUAACCACAUCCCCGGGAAGCCUGGAUGGGCUGUGAGGG